RNAcentral lists this ribosomal RNA (253 nucleotides) under uncultured bacterium. RNAcentral describes it as "partial 16S ribosomal RNA". It matches the Rfam family "Bacterial small subunit ribosomal RNA", at positions 524 to 776 of the family's 1533-position model. The record is from RNAcentral.
UACAGAGGGUGCGAGCGUUGUCCGGAAUCACUGGGCGUAAAGGGCGCGUAGGCGGCUUGGUAAGUCGGGGGUGAAAUCUUGCGGCUCAACUGCAAGGCUGCCUCCUAAACUGCCUGGCUGGAGCACGGUAGAGGCAGAUGGAAUUCCCGGUGUAGCGGUGGAAUGCGCAGAUAUCAGGAGGAACACCGGUGGCGAAGGCGGGUCUCUGGGCAGUAACUGACGCUGAGGAGCGAAAGCGUGGGGAGCGAACAGG